This 440-nucleotide ribosomal RNA is filed under the name uncultured bacterium. RNAcentral describes it as "partial 16S ribosomal RNA". It matches the Rfam family "Bacterial small subunit ribosomal RNA", at positions 338 to 795 of the family's 1533-position model. The record is from RNAcentral.
CCUACGUGAGGCAGCAGUGGGGAAUAUUGGACAAUGGGGGAAACCCUGAUCCAGCGACGCCGCGUGAGUGAAGAAGUAUUUCGGUACGUAAAGCUCUAUCAGCAGGAAAGAAAAUGACGGUACCUGACUAAGAAGCCCCGGCUAACUACGUGCCAGCAGCCGCGGUAAUACGUAGGGGGCAAGCGUUAUCCGGAUUUACUGGGUGUAAAGGGAGCGUAGACGGCAGCGCAAGUCUGGAGUGAAAUGCCGGGGCUCAACCCCGGAACUGCUCUGGAAACUGUGAAGCUGGAGUGCAGGAGAGGUAAGCGGAAUUCCUGGUGUAGCGGUGAAAUGCGUAGAUAUCAGGAGGAACACCGGCGGCGAAGGCGGCUUACUGGACUGUAACUGACGUUGAGGCUCGAAGGCGUGGGGAGCAAACAGGAUUAGAUACCCCAGUAGUC